GCUUUCGUAGCGUAAUGGGUAAGCGCAACGGAUUGGAUAUCUGUAGGUGAGGUUUCGAGUGCCGACUGAGGCU
RNAcentral lists this transfer RNA (73 nucleotides) under Dictyocaulus viviparus (bovine lungworm). It matches the Rfam family "tRNA". From Rfam's summary of the family: Transfer RNA (tRNA) molecules are approximately 80 nucleotides in length. Their secondary structure includes four short double-helical elements and three loops (D, anti-codon, and T loops). Further hydrogen bonds mediate the characteristic L-shaped molecular structure. tRNAs have two regions of fundamental functional importance: the anti-codon, which is responsible for specific mRNA codon recognition, and the 3' end, to which the tRNAs corresponding amino acid is attached (by aminoacyl-tRNA synthetases). tRNAs cope with the degeneracy of the genetic code in two manners: having more than one tRNA (with a specific anti-codon) for a particular amino acid; and 'wobble' base-pairing, i.e. permitting non-standard base-pairing at the 3rd anti-codon position. The record is from Rfam by way of RNAcentral. Lineage: Eukaryota; Metazoa; Nematoda; Chromadorea; Rhabditida; Metastrongylidae.